GCGAGAGCGCAGCGGGGUUGCCCGGCUCCGACUGGAGGUGGGGAACUCGGUCCACCUCAGGCCGCGGGAAUUUAGUCUCACACUUUCCGCCAGGGACCGCCCGUGCUCGACACACACGGAAACCAAGGCUCUUGGAGGUUAAAUUACUUGACCAAGGUUACUCUGGAUUUUCCUGAAAAUCAACGUUACCUCCUUCCUUGAGAGCCGGUUUUAGAAAGCUGUCUGCAGAAGCCUCUGAGGAGACUCUUUGUUCAUGAAAAGCUUGAGACCUUAGCCCUAGAGGACUAGGGAGUAGUCAUUUACUCUGACCCAUUGCUCGCAUGGUCCUGGACAGGUGAAUGAGGGAGCCAGGAAAAAGGAAGCAUUACUGACACUAAACAAGAAGCAGCUUCUCACCCUAUGCUAUCUACCUCACCCUGACAAAGAUGUUGUGAGCAGUAUAUGCAGUAAAGUCUCCAUCAACCAGAGCUCUGCAUGUCUACAGUGUGUUCCAGAUCUGCCCUCCUGAGCAACUGUACUUUCUUUAAAGUCCGUAUUACUCUUCUGAUUCCUCUCCUUUUCUCGCCUUUCCUCCUACUCUCCCAGCCCUUCCAAUAUCCUUUUCGUCUCUUCUCUUUUCUCUCAAUCACUGUCCCUCCCACUAACAUGGCUUAUUCUUGUGACUUGUUUUUAUAACAAUUCUCUAGGCCUGAUUUUAUUCAUUACUUUAGUAUAGAUUUUACUAAUAUGAUGGGAAAAGCUAAGAAACAAAGUCUAAAUUACUUUUUAUAACAUUUGCAAUCUGCACAUAGAGAAUAUAUCUCCUCUUCCAAGUUCCAUGGACAUUUACCAGAAUGGGUCAAGAAAAUCUCAAG
This is a long non-coding RNA of Lagenorhynchus albirostris (white-beaked dolphin), 854 nucleotides long. RefSeq lists it as uncharacterized. The transcript is spliced from 3 exons. The record is from RefSeq and is a predicted model, not a curated record. Lineage: Eukaryota; Metazoa; Chordata; Mammalia; Artiodactyla; Delphinidae.